This 133-nucleotide ribosomal RNA is filed under the name uncultured bacterium. RNAcentral's name for it is "partial 16S ribosomal RNA". The record is from RNAcentral.
ACAUGGUAUUAACACAUAUGCAUUUCUUUCAUCUGAAGGAUUUUACGACCCUAAGGCCUUCAUCAUCCACCCGGCGUCCCUGCUUCAGGGUUGCCCCCAUUGCGCAAUAUUCCUCACUGCUGCCUCCCGUAGG